RNA transcript from Impatiens glandulifera, 2045 nucleotides. It is a transcript of the gene named pentatricopeptide repeat-containing protein At5g47360, with no coding region annotated. NCBI's taxonomy places the organism in Eukaryota, Viridiplantae, Streptophyta, Magnoliopsida, Ericales, Balsaminaceae. The transcript is spliced from 3 exons. The record is from RefSeq and is a predicted model, not a curated record.
UCCGACAUCCUCUUCUUCUUCCUCACUAAAGACCUUGGAAGCUCUGUAUUAAUGGCGGCAAUGUUAAAAACUGCCAUUGAAUUUAAGAUAUUUACAUAUUAGACAUCCCUUAUCAUCAUUACCGGCCAUUUUUCUUCCUAUCUGCUUCGGAAAGUAUAUGCAGUCAAUAAUUUUCAGCUUUGAUGUAGUGGUCUAGAAAUUAUUGGAAGAAAGUGAGUUUUCCAGGAAUCCGGCAAUAGAUUCACAAAACCGAAGCAUGUCUGUUUCUUCCCUCUCUAGGCUUCUCGCAGACUCAAUUUCUCGCCGAAAGCCUUACUUUUCAAUUACAACUUCCCUUGCAUUCACUACCAGUUCAUUUGCAGACAACUACUGGACCCACUUGCAGAAGAAUGACUCAAAUUUGGAGGCAUCUCUAAAUUCUGUUAAGACCGAGCUUGAUGCAUCUACCGUCAUUGAGGUCCUACGAAGAUCUGUUCUUGCUCAGCAACAUAUUUCUGGACUCAGGUUCUUCAUUUGGUCUGGUCAUCGUCCAGGUUACAAACACAGUUCUUAUGUUUACCGUCAAGCCUGCAAAUUGUUGGAUGUUAAGACAGAUCCAGUAUUAAUCACUCAUGUGAUAGACGCAUAUAAGCUUGAUGGUUAUACAUUAAGUAUCAAAAUUUUCAAGGUGAUUCUGAACUUAUGUAGAGAGGCAGAUCUUGCAGAGACCGGUUUGAGGAUAUUGAAACAGAUGAAGGAAGAGUUCAAUUGUCAGCCUGACAUGACAAUGUACAAUGUUGUCAUAAGACUAUACUGUAGUAAAGGUGGAAUGGAUAUGGCAUCUGAUUUAAUGAAUGAAAUGAUGUUGUUGGGUCUUCAUCCCGACAUGUCAAUGUAUGUUGCGAUGAUCAAAGGGUUCUGCGAUAUUCGAGAGCUGGAGAAGGCUUGUAAGUUGUUUGAAGCGAUGAGUGAACAUGGUUGUAAACCUAAUACUGUUGUUUAUUCUGCUCUUCUCGAUGGAUUUUGUCUUAAUGGGAGUAUGGAAAGUGGCUUGAAAUUGUUGGAAAGUAUGGAGAAAGAGGGAGGUGAUUGUAGCCCAAAUGUCGUUACCUACACUUCCGUGAUUCAGAGAUUAUGUGAGAAGGGUAAAUCUACAGAAGCGUUGGCCAUUUUGGAUCGGAUGGAGGCUAAGGGAUGUUUUCCGAAUAGGGUUACAGUUGUUUCACUGAUUCAGGGAUUAUGUGAUGAAGGAUGUCUUGAGAAAGCCAUUAAGAUGAUUGAUAGAGUUGUUGCUGGGGGAUAUGUUUCGUUUGGUGAAUGUUAUAGUUCUCUUGUUAUAAUAUUAUUGAGGAUGAGAAGAAUUGAAGAGGCGGAGAAGGUUUUUAGAAACAUGAUUGUUGCUAAAGUGAUACCUGAUGGUUUGGCUGCCAGUUUGAUGAUAAAGAAUCUUUGCUUCGAGAGUAGGUAUUUAGAUGGAUUUUAUUUAUGGAAUGAAAUCGAGAAGUUAGGUUUCUUCCUCCCUUCCAUUGACACAGACAUUUACUCACUUCUUUUGGCGGGUUUAAUCAAAGAAAGUAAUUUGGUACAAGUAGAAAAAUUUGCAAAGUCAAUGGCAGAUAGAAAAGUUCAUCUUAAGAGACCCCUUGAUCCUUAUAUUGUGGAGAAUCUGAAGAGAAAUGGGUCAAAAGAGCUACAAUCAUUUCUAAAAUUAAAUGAAGAGUCUCAAUAGGAUUUCUCCAUAUAAAAUACAAGCAAAAUUGAGCAACAGAUUGCAACUCGGAAGUACUUAUCAGGUUAUAGACCUUCAAGGCUGUGACUAUUCAUUUUUGAGCUGACUGUCAUGCAAAAAUACUAAAAGACGAACUAAUAAGCAGAUCCUCUGUUUCUUAGAGAAGAAGAAUCAGCAGACAUAUUAGUUUACUAGGUGAUUCUGAUCCUGAUUGUUGAUUUCUGGGAGGCGUGGAUUGGUUACGGCAAGUUGAUGCUGAUCGUCUUUAGGUUAGUUUUUUUGCUUAGUGUCUAUACACUUUUUGUCUUUUUGAAUGUUCUAAUUCUUUAUUAUUUUC